CCAAUAGCGUAUAUUAAAGUUGUUGCAGUUAAAAAGCUCGUAGUUGAAUUUCGGGUUCAAUAUGUUGGUCGUGCCUUGGUACGUACUAGUUUAUUGGUUUCUUCCUUCUGACGAACCAUGAUGUCAUUAAUUUGGUGUCAUGGGGAAUCAGGACUGUUACUUUGAAAAAAUUAGAGUGUUUAAAGCAGGACCACGCUUGAAUACAUUAGCAUGGAAUAAUGAAAUAGGACGUUUGAUUCUAUUUUGUUGGUUUCUAGGAUCGACGUAAUGAUUAAUAGGGAUAGUUGGGGGCAUUAGUAUUCAAUUGUCAGAGGUGAAAUUCUUGGAUUUAUUGAAGACUAACUACUGCGAAAGCAUUUGCCAAGGAUGUUUUCAUUAAUCAAGAACGAAAGUUAGGGGAUCGAAGACGAUCAGAUACCGUCGUAGUCUUAACCAUAAACUAUGCCGACUAGGGAUCGGAUGAUGUUAAUUUUUUAAUGACUCAUUCGGCGCCUUACG
Molecule: ribosomal RNA, 498 nt
Filed under: uncultured Glomeromycotina
Lineage: Eukaryota; Fungi; Glomeromycota
Description: partial small subunit ribosomal RNA
Rfam family: Eukaryotic small subunit ribosomal RNA
Source: RNAcentral